Molecule: long non-coding RNA, 291 nt
Organism: Candoia aspera
Lineage: Eukaryota; Metazoa; Chordata; Lepidosauria; Squamata; Candoiidae
Exons: 3
Source: RefSeq, a predicted model, not a curated record
CCAUUCCAAAAAGGAGCAGCUUUACCAAAUCUUUUGCUCACAUUGGAUUUUGGAAAUAAAUAAAAAUGAGGGCUGUGUCUGGCAGUGAUGAAGAUGAAGCAGACCCAUAUGCCUGAUGCUGGAAGCUUUUUGAUUUCAGAGUUGAUGGGGCGAAGCCAGCAAAGAGCUAUAACAGGGACUGUGGGAACUGAUGCUGCAAAUGAGAAAUUAUACUGAGGACACCCUUCCUGCGACACUUUGUUAAAACGACAACAAGAGUUUUCUGGCACAUCAAUUUACUACUUGCCAAAU